CCCUUAGAUGUUCUGGGCCGCACGCGCGCUACACUGACGAAUGCAACGAGCUUAUAACCUUGGCCGAAAGGUCUGGGUAAUCUCCAAAUUUCGUCGUGAUGGGGAUAGAUUAUUGCAAUUAUUCAUCUUCAACGAGGAAUUCCUAGUAAACGCAAGUCAUCAGCUUGCAUUGAUUACGUCCCUGCCCUUUGUACACACCGCCCGUCGCACCUACCGAUUGAAUGGUCCGGUGAAAUCUUCGGAUCUGAGAGAUGUCUGAUUAAUUUCGGACGCCUUUUGGAAAAGUUGUUUAAACCUUACCAUUUAGAGGAAGGUGAAGUCGUAACA
RNAcentral lists this ribosomal RNA (327 nucleotides) under uncultured eukaryote. Its description in RNAcentral is "partial 18S ribosomal RNA". It matches the Rfam family "Eukaryotic small subunit ribosomal RNA", at positions 1470 to 1796 of the family's 1831-position model. The record is from RNAcentral.